This 253-nucleotide ribosomal RNA is filed under the name uncultured bacterium. RNAcentral describes it as "partial 16S ribosomal RNA". It matches the Rfam family "Bacterial small subunit ribosomal RNA", at positions 524 to 776 of the family's 1533-position model. The record is from RNAcentral.
UACGUAGGGUGCGAGCGUUGUCCGGAAUUACUGGGCGUAAAGGGCGCGUAGGCGGCCUGCUAAGUCGGACGUGAAAUCCCUCGGCUCAACCGAGGAACUGCGUCCGAUACUGGUGGGCUUGAAUCCGGGAGAGGGAUGUGGAAUUCCAGGUGUAGCGGUGAAAUGCGUAGAUAUCUGGAGGAACACCGGUGGCGAAGGCGGCAUCCUGGACCGGUGUUGACGCUGAGGCGCGAAAGCUAGGGGAGCAAACGGG